GCAUCGAUGAAGAACGCAGCGAAAUGCGAUACUUGGUGUGAAUUGCAGAAUCCCGUGAACCAUCGAGUCUUUGAACGCAAGUUGCGCCCAAAGCCAUUAGGCUGAGGGCACGCCUGCCUGGGUGUCACAC
RNAcentral lists this ribosomal RNA (130 nucleotides) under Phaseolus vulgaris (common bean). Its description in RNAcentral is "partial 5.8S ribosomal RNA". It matches the Rfam family "5.8S ribosomal RNA", at positions 30 to 154 of the family's 154-position model. From Rfam's summary of the family: 5.8S ribosomal RNA (5.8S rRNA) is a component of the large subunit of the eukaryotic ribosome. It is transcribed by RNA polymerase I as part of the 45S precursor that also contains 18S and 28S rRNA. The record is from RNAcentral. Lineage: Eukaryota; Viridiplantae; Streptophyta; Magnoliopsida; Fabales; Fabaceae.